Spinacia oleracea (spinach) is the source of this 2228-nucleotide RNA transcript. It is a transcript of the gene named protein ROOT PRIMORDIUM DEFECTIVE 1, with no coding region annotated. The record is from RefSeq and is a predicted model, not a curated record. The transcript is spliced from 3 exons. NCBI's taxonomy places the organism in Eukaryota, Viridiplantae, Streptophyta, Magnoliopsida, Caryophyllales, Amaranthaceae.
UGGCGUCCAUUCUCUUUAUUUCUUUCCUCUUUCCUCCUCCCUCCUCCCUCCUCCUUCGACGAAGAACAUUGAGAAGGGUUUUGGGUGUAAGAGUUACAAACUUUUCCAGAAAAUCUAAUUCUACAGUCACUCGCUCUUAGGUAAAUUCAUUAGUUGUCUUUUUUUGUUUUUAUCAAAUUAAGAUUGCAUUUUUCAUUUUGUCAUAUUGGGGUUCAGUUGAACCCACUGCUAAAAUAUAGUACCAAGUAUAAGCUUAUUAUAGAUGAUGUAAUUGAAUUUAAUGAUUUUGUUACAAUGGCGAUUCAAUUAGUCAAAUUCAUGUUGAAACCCUCAAAUUUAGUUGUUUUAUUUGGUUCAAAAUCAACAAGAAUAAGAACAAUUUCAUCAGCACAAUUUGUUGCAUCGAGGGCAAGAGACCCUACAUUUGAGAAGUAUAUGGACAAUUACAAGAAGCUUGUUAAAGUAGUUGCUAUUCAAGACCUUAUCUUAGCAAACCCCCAUAAAAACCCACCUUCUGUAUCGGUUGAUUUCUUGUCCAGGCUCUCCCAGAGGCUCCACCUUAACCGGGGUGCCCCUUCGUUCCUCCGUCGACACCCUCACGUUUUCGAGGUUUUUUAUGAUCCUCAAAAGUCCAUGCCCUAUUGUAAAUUAACUGAUAAAGUGAUUGAGAUUUCCCAAUUGGAGGCUGCUGCUAUUAACGAGUCUUUGCCGUUGGUUGUGGAACGCUUGGUUCGGAUUCUUUCGAUGUCGUUGUCUAGAUCAUUGCCGUUAAGGGCGGUUUUUAAGGUGUGGAGGGAGUUGGGUCUUCCUGAUGAUUUUGAGGAAUCUGUGAUUGCGCGGAAUCCUCAGUUGUUCUUGCUUUGUGAUGGGAAUGAACCGAACACCCAUGUUUUGAAACUUGUUCCUACUUACCCUACUGGUCAUUUCACUGCUGCGGUGGAAGAUUGGCGAGUUUUGGAGUGUUGUCAGGAGGAUUCAAAGGUUGAUAGGACGGAGAUGCGGUACAGUUUUAAGCAAGGGUUUCCACCAGGAAUGAAGUUGAAAAAGACUUUUAGGACAAAGGUUAAGGAAUGGCAGAAAAUGCCAUAUACUGGGCCAUAUGAGUUGGCAGGAGAGAAGAAGAGAGCAAAAAGUGGUAUAAAGGGAUCGGAGAAACGAGCCGUUGCCAUUGUUCAUGAAUUCAUAAAUUUGACUGUUGAGAAGAUGGUGGAGGUGGAGAAGAUCAGCCAUUUCAGGAAGUGGUUUGGGAUUGAUUUGAAUAUCAGGGAUCUAUUUCUGGACCACCCUGGGAUAUUUUACUUAUCCAACAAAGGGAAGAUGCAUACAGUUUUCCUAAGGGAAGCUUUUGAAAGAGGGCGCUUGAUAAACCCAAAUCCUGUUUACGAGGCCAGGAUGAAGCUUCUUUAUUUAAUAACGCUGGAACGUCGUGGAAUGUUAACUACAUCUGAAAAGUCAGUCAAAGAGGUAGAAGAUAUGCAAGCCAAAGAAAACAGACAGAUUUCUGCCUCUUCAGUUUUCGACAAUACUGACAGAGAUUAAUGAUGAUGGAUCAAUAAUGAAAACUGAAGGUUGGCAAUGGUACCUAUUUAGUUCAAUGCUAUUGCUCCUAGUGAGAAUUCUGAUCUUUUGGAGCUUCAAUAUUCUGGACCCUUUGAUGAGUGUGGCCCCACGAUCCAGAAGUAUAUAGCUGCAGAAAGUGGAUACUACCUUAUCACACCUCUUGUGCCUAUUUCUGGAAAUCUUGAUAGAAACAUCAAGAUAAGCUGAUGUAACUCGCGUCUCAUAAAUUAAAGAUGGAAUUCUAAUUGGUCUAUGGUUGCUGACAUCGACCCAUAAGACUGAAAUUCAACGAUCCUGAGGAUGAGGAAUAUGGUGAGUGACACUAUUCAGAAUUUGGAUUCUGAUUAUGAAAGACUGCUCAAGUGCUGAGACUGUGACGAUUGAGUUCAGAAGUGAAUAUUUGCUAUUAACACUCUGAAAUUUGCACAUUCUUGAAACUUUGGUCAGCCUCCGUUUGGCGGUUACUAUAUAUCUUAAGACUUGUUAGUACUCUUUGAAAAUGUUUUUUGUGCUCUUGGUUAGAUGUCAGAGCAUAAACAUUUUUUGAAUGUUUACUGAAAUUCGAUUUUGUUAAGAGUAUAAUGUAUAUGUAUACAGUUAUACACACUGGCUUCCUGAAUAUAAUCCACGGAACACGCACUCGGGUGUUUCUUGCUUGUUGGUGCUCA